GGCCACGCACACACACGAGGAGUAAUCCUCUAUUCUUCGUUCAAGAGAUGUUCAUCGAUCUCUCUUGAGAUUUCAACACAGAACUGGAGGAGGGUUUCUGGGUGAGCAACCUCAUCGCUAAUUUUCUCGUACUCAAGGUACCAGUGCACAACACUACCAGGCCCUCCAUGCUUAGGGGUCACCUGGAUUGUGAUCACAAAGCUUUUGUACUCUUUCAUCAGAUCACCUUCUACAACCCUGAACGUGAUCAGGUUCUUCUCUGGCUCCACCGCCUCGACCCUCUCCUUAGCCACCUUUGCCUCUCCAUCUGCACCAAUUAUUUAAACUUUAUUUAUAUAGGUUUGGUCUUUUACGAAUCAGCAUGAAUGUUAUUUUCAAAAUCAUAAACAUAUGUGUAUACAAAACGUAAUUCUGUAGUAGAACUCAUGGACUUGUUAAGAUUUUCCUAAACAAUUUUUUUUCCCUACUACUAAAUUUAUUGUAUGUAUUGUAAAAGUAAAAAAUAUAUAUAAAGUGGCUUGCCAUGAACGUAGUUCCAGAUGACGACUGAACCGACUUUGCCCCAGUCGCCUUCACGUAGCUCACAGUUCUGAAUGUUGCCCGGAGUUGCUUUGGACACAUGGUGUGGUCUUCCUGCGAACAUGUGAUGGAACUUUCCAGCAGGAGCUUUGAUCUCCACAUCUGUGUCAAGCUUCCCCACCAAAGUAGACGCUUCUGCCAUGAUUUCUUUGCUUGCUAUGAGAAAAGAAAACGUUUAGUUUUGUAGGAGUGAGUUGUCUUGUGAGUUCUUUAGUCUCUAUAUGUAGAGGAGUGAGUUGUCUUGUGAGUUCUUUCGUCUCUAUAUGUAGAGGAGCGAGUGAGAGCAAGCGUUGAAAAAUAGAACGAUUUUUGUAAAAUACUAUAAUGAUAACUUUUGUGACCCCAUGGUGAUCAGGAGGAAUUCAGGAUCCCAUACUAAUAAUUCACCUGCCCAAUAUUUUUCUAUUAUCCUGUCAAGUUACAAAGUGGUUUAUAUUUGAUAUUAUUCAACAAUCGCAACAUUCACGUCGUUCCUUUCGCUCUCAAUUCUUCUCUUCUCGGCUCUAGUUGGUGACACAGUAAUGUUUUUUUUUUUAAAAGCAUUAAUAAAUUAGAAAUAUCGGUUCCAAGAAAUAUUUUUAGAGAUGCGAUCAGUAAUUUUGGGCUUGAGGCCCCAAUUAUGGUGGGCUGAGUUUGGGAACCACCAUUAUGGAAGAUGGACAGAUGAUCCAAAAAAAGUAUACAUAUGUUUGUUCUUUAGAUUACGAUACUAUCUGUUUGUAGUUUGUACGAUCAUAUAUUGUAGGAUUCAACUUAUUCCCAUUAACACUAACGAAAAAACGUAGAAGCCCAUAUCACCCAUCGCAUAUUUUUGAUGUCACCAGGAUGAUUUUUUUCCCUUUAACCCAGUACAGAGGAAACUUGUAAAUUGGAGGUGGGCAUGUAUUGUAAUUAGUUAGGUGUAUCAUCUUAAAACUUAAUAAAGUAAUAGAAUUUAAGUAUUUGUUAGGAAAAUUCCAACUUGACCUUGUAUCAACCAAACAUCUAUUAUUUGCUGGUUUUUUUGAUACUACUUGUUACGUUUACCCAUACACUAACUUUCCUACCGUAAGAAUCUGCAAGUGGAAGAUACGGUCUUAUGGAAGAGUAAUGCAGAGAGCUACAAAACCUCUUUCUCAUCAAAUAACACAUGGCAACUGAUCCGAAAGGAGUAUGUUAAGCAAGGGUGGAGCAAAGGUGUAUGGUUCAAAUAUGAUACGCCAAAAUACUCGUUUCAUGUUUGGACAGCGAUGCAGGACAGACUGUCAACAUGUGAUAGAAUAUUGAAAUGGAUCUCUGCUAUUGAUCCUGUCUGUGUGCUUUGCGAACAGGAAAUGGGGACAAGGAACCAUCUGUUUUACUCCUCCUCAUACUCGAGAGAAGUUUGGCAAAAACUGAUGAAGGGAUUGCUGCUUGGGAGAUAUACAGAGAAAUGGGAGGAGAUAGGUACACUUCUACUUGAUGAAAGCCAAGAUCGGGUGAAGUUAUAUCUGUUGAGAUACACUUUUCAAGCCGCUGCUCAUUCCAUUUGGAGAGAGAGAAACUGUAGAAGACAUGAGGAGAAGCAUCUCCCACACAUUUUGCUAGUGAAAGUCAUUGACAAGAAUGUGAGAAACAGAUUAUCUACCAUUAAACGCCAAGGAGGUCACAAAUUGGAAGGAGGGUUGAGAAUGUGGUUUGGUAGUAGAUAAACUCUUAUUAGAACCAGCUUUCAAAUAUUUUACAUUUUAGCUUGAAGUUGCAUUUCAAUGUAAAACAGCUGUUUUUUUUAUGAAUAAAAUUUAACAUUUAUUCAAAAAAAAAAAAAAAAACUUUCCUACCGUUUGAAUGUUACAACUUGGAUCUUUGUGAUAAAAACAGAAACUUAAAGACACAAGAAAUUUGUUUAUCCAGUCCCCUUUUCGGUAACCCUGGGGUGGGAUAUCUCUCCCACAACUUCCACUAACAAGCAAAGCUUACAAGUUUCAGUCACUUCUCACUUCCUUGAGAAUGACAAAUGAGAUUACAGAAGGAGAGUACAAUACCAAACACUCUAAGAACACAAACACUCAAACUUUGUUUCUUCUCUUGUGUUUGGUAGCUUCUCACUCUCUGACUUCUUCUCUCUUGUCUUCUUCUUGUUCUUUGCUCAGCUGCAGAUUCUCUUGACUGCCUUUGAGCCUUUUGCUUGCCUCUCUCUCUAGACUUUGUGGAGUUUCUCUUGUCUUCUUCUCUUUUUUGGUUUUGCUUUUUAGGUUUAGAGGAGGCACAAGAUAUAUAUAGUGGUAUCUUGUGUCCCCAAAACCCUAGCUCUAAUGGGCUUCGAAAACACUGAGGCUCAAACUUAACAUGUUUCCUAGAGCAUCAAUGUGCAAGAUUUAGCCUUUCUGAAGUAGUCACUUCAGUGCUCUAGACAACUUCACUGAUUUCCCUAUAGCAACAAAGUGCUGAAGACAGGUUUCUGAAGUGGGCACUUCAGAGCCAUAGGUGAAACACAUACCAAGUGCACAUAACCAACAAUCUCCACCUUGAGCGUUUGGCCACUUGUGCUUGUGCUCUCUUGCGUGUCCAACCUACAUCCAACCUACCAUGCCUACUUGAUACUUAUCCCGCUUCUUUGGGGUCUUCAUUUUUUCCUGAGACGGAAUCAUCCUCGCCUCCUUAUCUCAGCUACUCCACCUAAGUCAAACUACUUGUUUAAACUUCUUCUGAAGCUUCUCUCAACUGCUGCACCUGGAACCUGUGUCUCUACUAACACGGUUUCAGAAACUCCACUAGGUAACUCUCCACGCUGCAAUUUAACCUUCCAUCUCCAGGCUUUAUACAAAUUAACUCUACCCGGUCAAUUCGAUCCUGCAAGAUAGACCAUAAGCCAACAUAGUUACCUGGGGCGGUUUCCCCCUUUAGUGAGCGUUGAGAAGUAUGAAGCCUUGCUGCAACUCCUGACUCGGUAUCCUCUUAUCCAAGAAGCCUCCUUGCUUACUCCUAGCAUGCUUCUGAUCUUGGGUAGACUCUCCUACUUUUAUGAGAGACUCACAUUCUACUUCACUCACUUCAAACAUAAACCUUGUGACUGCUUCAAUCUCAUCUAAGUCCGUUGCAUUCUCUGAGCCUGAGAAACUACUAAUGCAACAUCUGGAAUCCUUCUUGAACCUAUAAAGCUUUUGAUUCCUUCUUCUUGAAGACUUCUUCUUGUUUUUCUCUUUGUCCACUUGAGCUACCUUCGGUUAUGCUCUUGAUUCCUCUCUGCUCAUCUUAGACUCAUUCUCUCCUGACCGUCCUGUAAUAGAAGAGCCUCCACCUUGAGCUAAUGACCCUUCCACUUAUAGCCAUAAGGAGUUGGUCCUUGAAUUAGAUUCAUGCUGAAAGUCACAUUCCUUGACUUCUUCUUUUAAGUUUUCUUAACCUACUUCUCUGCUCCUUUCCCGGACUUCUUUCUCUUCCCUUGGCACCUUCACUUCAGCCUCUGUGACCUUGACUUGAAAGUAGUAGAUACCUUCAUGAUACUCACCUGAUAUAACCUAUCUUCCAACUUUAUAAAACUGAACCUUAAAGCCUUAUCCUCUGUACUUGCAACCUGACUUCUCCAACAUUCCAUAGAAAAUCAGAUUUCUACUCACCUUUGGUAUGUAUUUAACAUCCUUGAGUAUCACUUCUGAACCAUCCGGAUUCUCAAUCCGCACCUUUCCUAUCCGCUUGAUGUUACCAUAUGUGUUGUUAGCCAUUAACACUUUACGACCAUCAAGCUCCGUGAAGUCAAAUAAGACUUCCUUGUCUGGUGUGUUGUGGUAUGAACUACAUGAGUCCAUAAUCCAUCCUUUCUUUGUGUUAUAAGUGCUAACACUUAAAAUCAUUGGUUCUUUAUACUCAGUUGCAGUAUUUGCAGAGCAUUUAUCCCUCAUCUCUGGGCAAUCUCUUUUCUAAUGCCCUUCAUCUCCACAGAUAAAACAAUCUUUGUUGUUCUUAUCAAGUUUUGGCUUUGACUGAUACUUUCCUCUGCUCUUAGACCUUGCUCUUCCAAGUUGGUUGUUUCCUCUUGAAUCAACAUAGAGACCUUCAGCAUUUGGUCUAGACUGGCUUCCACUUUCAGCCAACUCUCUCUCCUUGGACCUUGCAGCUCAUGUUACUUCAUUUAAGCUGAGACUGUCCCUUACAUACUUGAAAGUUUCCUUUAGCUAGUCAUACUUGUGGGGUAAUGAACUUAGCAGCAAAAUCGUUUGGACUUCAUCUGACACAUCUACACCUAGAUUGUUCAGAUCUGUUACCAGCUUGUGAAAGUUAUCAACAUUCUCAUCUAUACUCUUCACAUCAUUCAUCUUGAAAGUAUAGAACUUCAGCUGUAGAUAUAUGCGAUUUGGCAAUGAAGACUCCAUGUACAACAUGUCCAAUGUUGACCAUAUGGCUGCUGCUGUUUCACAGUGCUUGAUCUUCCUUAGCACUUGAUUUCCCAUAUUCAAAACAAUCAGAUCUUUAGCACUUUUUGAUUUCUCGAGCUUUACUGGAUCUAUGCUUGAACCAGCAUCUGAGAUCCCUGCUAACCCUUUCUAUGGAUCCUUCAUAGCAGCUUCCAACUCCUCUUGUUCACUAGGUGGAUCCUUCAACAGCUUCUCAUCUGUAAGAAUUCCUUUCAAACCUAAAACACCAAAGUGAGCUAGCUACGAACCUUCCAUAAGGAGAAAUCCCAUGUUCCAUCAAACCUAUCGACCUCUAUCCUUGUAUUCAACAUUGAGUCUUCAAGGAGAAUUUUCUAACACUCUUGCUUUGUACCUGGACCUCUGAUACCACUUGUUGGUUAAAUUCCAACUUGACCUUGUAUCAACCAAACAGCUAUCACUUGCUAGUUUUGAUACUACAUGUUAGGUUUACCCAUACACCUAAUUUUCCUACCCGUUGAGUGUUAAAAUUUGGAUCUUUGUGAUGAAAACAUAAACUUAAAGACACAAGAAAUUUGUUCACUCUGUUCCCUUUCCGGUACCUCUGGGUGGGAUCUCUCUCCCACAACUUCCACUAACAAGCAAAGCUUACAAGUUUCAGUCACUUCUCACUUCCUUGAAAAUGACAAAAGAGAUUUCAGAAGAAGAGUACAAUACCAAAACCCUCUAAGAACACAAAGACUCGAACUUUGUUUCUUCUCUUGUCUUUGGUAGCUUCUCACUCUCUGAAUUCUUCUCUAUUGUCUCCUUCUUGUUCUUUGCUCAGCUGCAAAUCCCUCUUGACUGUCUUUGAGCCUUUUGCUUGCCUCUCUUUCUAGACCUUGUGGAGUUUUUCUUGUCUUCUUCUCUUAUUUUGGCUUUGUUUCCUAGGUUUAGAGGAGGCACAAGAUAUAUAUAAUGGUAUCUUGUCCCUAAAACUCUAGCUCUAAUGGGCUUCGAAAACACUGAGGUCCAAACACAACAGCUUUCCUAGAACAUCAAUGUGCAAGAUGGAGCCUUUCUGAAGUUGUCACUUCACUGCUCUAGGCAACUUCGCCGAUUUCCCUAUAGCAAUAAAGUGCUGAAAACAGGUUUUUAAAGUGGACACUUCAGAACCGUAGGUGAAACAGAAACCAAAUGCACAUAACCAACGGUAUUAUACCUUGAUAUAAAAAUCAUAGUAUAUGGUUCAAUAGACUACAAGUCCAAAUAUCAUCUAUAUUUACCGCGUAACCGGAACCAAACCAUUACCGAAUUGGAACCAAAAUUUUAUCGGUUCUUAUAAUUGUUAUCCGAACCGAUCCAAAAAUCGAAAGAAUGGAACCAGACCCGAACCAAAUUUUAUAGAUAACCAAACGGUUCGUAUAUUUCUAAAACCGAAAAAAAAAAAACUGAGAAUUAAAAAAACCGAACCAGAACCGAACCGAAAACCGAACGUCCAGGCCUAAUGUUAUAUGUUCUUUGCAAUAUUGCUUGGAUGUCAAGUACAGGUAAUAUUAUAUGUCGAUACCUGUUAAUACUAAAAAGAAUAACAUUUCUCUCGAUCGAUGCUAUUCCUUCUUAUUUAACCCUCGUUAAAUUAGGUUUCAAAGGAGGAGAUAAUUUUUUUGAAACAUAUAAGAAUCAAUACUAUUAAAAGGGAAGGAGUCUUAAAAAAUCUACCUAUAAAAGUUGUUUGGACCUUUUCAUUUAACUCAUUAUUUUUGAUCUUAUCUUAAAUUUAAACUAACAAUAUAUUACCAUAUAUUUCUCUAACAAUAAUUUAUUCAAUUCAUUUAUUUAUUCAAAUCUCACUUCUAAAUACUAAUCAUUACUAUUACUAUAUUUACUAUUUUGAUUUUUAAUCAUAAAAGCAUUAAAACUAAUGUUUUAUAUUAUCACUUUUAUUAUAUAAUAUAUGAUUUAAAGCUAGAGAAGUUACACGACAUAUAUGUGUACAUUCUAACUUCCUCUUUCCUUUAUAGUAAAGUAAUCAUAUCAUGUAUAAACUUUCUCACUAAAAUCUCAUAUCAUAUACUUAAAUUUCAACCGUCUAUAGUUUAAUAGAUAUUUUCAUAUUUAAAAAUGAGUUUUCUGAAUAUUCAUAUUACCUUCACAAAAAUGUAGAAAUUCAUUGGUUCUAUUAAAACUAACCCGACUUCACGAUAUCAAUAUUGAUUAUUCACGAUUUUGAAAAUUAUUGGUUUAGAUAUUAUACUUUGAUAUACUUUUCACUUAAAAACGAAACAACACUAUUAAAAGAGAAAGAGUCUUAAAAAAUCUAAUAUAAAAAAAUUGUUGGAGUCAUGUAUAACAUUUUGUUUUUGGUAAUACUAUUAAUCAUUCUAACCAUACAAUAUUUUAAAUAUUUUUAACAGAUCCUAAUAUUAUUCCUUAUGAUAUCUUUACUCAGAAAAAUAUUUCAUCAACCAUGUUUUUGUACAAUAACGUUAAAACUCUAUAUCAAAAGGUUGUUGGACCUGAUAUGGACGUAAUGGGUCCACAUAUGUUCGGGUAUUUAGGAUCCUAAAAAUUUCGAAAUAUCUAAAAAAAUCUCAAAAAUAUUUGAAACUCCAAACAAAUACCUAAAAAAUUCAAAUACCUAAAGAUUUAAAAUCUGACACUAUGAACUGAAAUACCCUUUUUUUAAUUUGAAAAUUUACCUGAAAUCAAAAACUAUAAUCGUAAACCAAAAACUUAAAAAAAACAUCCAUAAUACCGGAAACAUAUUCAAAAUAUCCAAAUAUACCUAAUAAACACAACAUAUUUAUUAUCAGGUCUAGGGUAGGCCCCAAACUCAAACAAAGACAUGCAGGUCCAAAAAAACCCAAUAGAUUAUCUUCUCUGGACAUGAACUAAACCUAUAUUUUCGGGUCAGUUCGGUUUGUUUUUUUGGUCCGGAUAUAAUUCUCAUGCCUAAAAGAAACUUACGUAAAAGUGUACAUAUAAAAUCUCAAAUAAACUAAUUCGUAGAUUAUAUAACUGUUAAAAAUUAUAUUUUUUGAUAUAAUAAGACUUUGUAUUAUAAUAUAAUCCAAAAAUAUCCGCGUUUUCUAAGCGCGGGUCAAAAUCUAGUUAAUACUAUUAAAAAGGAAGGAGUUUUAAUAAAUUUACUUAGAAAGGUUGUUUGGACCCUUUCAUUAACUAAGAAUAUUUUGGUCUUACAUUGAUUUGGACAUGCAAUACGUUACCUUAAUUUUUCUAACAAUCAUUUAGUCAAAACUUUUAUUUAUUGGAUUCAUAUCUUUUUGAAAACGAAAAGAUUAUACCAUAUAUAUACUACCACAUAAAUUUGAUUCACGAAAAUAUAAUAUUAUGUAUACUUUUUGAUACUCUUCUUUAUAUAUGUCUCAUUAACUUUAUAAUUAAGAUAAGUUUAAAAAUUAUAUAUUAUGUUAAUUUUAUUUUAUUAAUAAAUAACAAUUUAGUAUUUAAGAUAAGUUUAAAAUUAUCAAAAACCCAACAAAUCUUUUUUUACUACUCAACAAAAAACCUACAAAUCUAUACUAUUAAAUUAGCCAAAAACAUCUCAAAUAAAUCUUAAGUUUCACCAACUAAACAAAUGUAACUUUUAUAAAAUGCACAAAAAUAUAAUGAAAUAUUAGAUUUGGCCAUUUUGGUCUUCGGGUCAAAUAUAAAUCGAUUUCUUUCAGGUCCAAGUUUUUUGGGUCUUGGACAUUUAUAUCCAAAUAAGUAUUUUCUUGUAUUUUAUUAUUAACCGAUGUAGAGUACUACAUAAACUUCAUGUCGUCUUGUAUCUUUACCCCUAGUAUACGCCGAUUCAAAUUAAGAACUUCAAAUAUAUCUCCACCAUACUAUUGUGCACACACACAUACACGCACGACACACGCCAACAUAUAUCUCUUACCCAAACUAGGACACGGCACAUUAUUUAAUUCAGUUUCAGAUACUUAAAGAGGCCAUGCACACACACGAGGAGUAAUCCUCUAUUCUUCGUUCAAGAGAUGUUCAUCGAUCUCUUUUGAGAUUUCAACACAGAACUGGAGGAGGGUUUCCGGGUGAGCAACCUCAUCGCUAAUUUUCUCGUACUCAAGGUGCCAGUGCACAACACUACCAGGCCCUCCAUGCUUAGGGGUCACCUGGAUUGUGAUCACAAAGCUUUUGUACUCUUUCAUCAGAUCACCUUCUACAACCCUGAACGUGAUCAGGUUCUUUUCUGGCUCCACCGCCUCGACCCUCUCCUU
Molecule: long non-coding RNA, 9133 nt
Filed under: Brassica rapa (field mustard)
Lineage: Eukaryota; Viridiplantae; Streptophyta; Magnoliopsida; Brassicales; Brassicaceae
Description: long non-coding RNA (BRAP_LNC001039)
Source: RNAcentral